CAAAGUACUUUGAAGAGAGAGUUCAAGAGGGCGUGAAACCGCUUGGAAGGAAACGGGUGGACCUGGCGUUAGUUCGUUGGAUUCAAUCCUUUCUUGCUGCGGGCCUUUUGGCGUCGAUUACAUCGACGAACAGCCAUUAGGUUGCUUCUGGCUUGAAGGGUGCAUUUCCAGCGGAUGCGCACUAGGGACUGUUUGGCUGCUGUGUGAAGCUUGAGGUGCCGGCUGGUGCUUGCAUCAGUGUCCCACUCUUGUGAAACGCGAGUUAGCUAGACAGGCUCAGGCUUGUACGCCUGUGGCUCAUUGAAAUUGGUCGCUUGUGGGUGGAUGCUGGGUGUUCGUUUCGGCGACCCUGGCGCCUGCCUGCUUGCAAUGCUGGUGGAUUGAGUCUACAAGCUGCCCUGGUGUUCCAGUCAGUUACCCACCUGACCCGUCUUGAAACACGGACCAAGGAGUCUAACAUGUGCGCGAGUUAUUGGGUUGCAAAACCUAAAGGCGUAAUGAGAGUGAAGGCUGGCUUGACUGGCUGAUGUGGGAUCCUAGUUCGCUAGGCGCACCACAGUCCCGUCUCGUCUGCAUUGUCAGUGAGGCGGAGACAGAGCGUACACGUUGGGACCCGAAAGAUGGUGAACUAUGCCUGAGCAGGACGAAGCCAGAGGAAACUCUGGUGGAGGUCCGAAACGGUUCUGACGUGCAAAUCGAUCGUCAGACUUGGGUAUAGGGGCGAAAGACUAAUCGAACCAUCUAGUA
Molecule: ribosomal RNA, 747 nt
Filed under: Paracanthonchus gynodiporata
Lineage: Eukaryota; Metazoa; Nematoda; Chromadorea; Chromadorida; Cyatholaimidae
Description: eukaryotic LSU rRNA
Rfam family: Eukaryotic large subunit ribosomal RNA
Source: RNAcentral